Molecule: ribosomal RNA, 611 nt
Filed under: Amphidoma languida
Lineage: Eukaryota; Dinophyceae; Gonyaulacales; Amphidomataceae
Description: partial large subunit ribosomal RNA
Rfam family: Eukaryotic large subunit ribosomal RNA
Source: RNAcentral
AAUAGGAUUCCCUUAGUAAUGGCGAAUGAACAGGGAUCAGCUCAGUAUGGAAAUCGGGGCUUCCCAGCCUUGAAUUGUAGUCUCAAGAGGUAUCGCCAACGGAGGCGCAGAUGUAAGCCUCUUGGAAAAGAGCAUCAAUGAGGGUGAGAAUCCCGUUUGUCAUCUGCAGUCCCCCGUGCACGGUGUAUCUUCUAAGAGUCGCGUUCCUCGGGAUUGGAGCGUAAAGUGGGUGGUAAAUUUCAUCUAAGGCUAAAUAUGGGUUCGAGACCGAUAGCAAACAAGUACCAUGAGGGAAAGAUGAAAAGGACUUUGAAAAGAGAGUUAAAAGUGCCUGAAAUUGCUGAAAGGGAAGCGAAUGGAACCAGUGCUCUUGGCGAGAUUGUUGUGCGCUAUGGUGAUUGCUGGCUGCUUCAGCGCAAGCGGGGUAGUUGGUACUGAGCCUGCCGCGCGCAGUGUUUCUUACCUUGUGCGUCACCGUCGGUUCACAGGCGAGGAUACUUCUGAGGACAUGGUAACUCUUCCACGGAGGUGUGAAUGUCUUUGGUAAUACUCGUUUGUAGACCGCUCACCUUCGGGUUACGAUGACUAAAUGGUUCUAUUCGACCCGUCUU